AUUUUCUUAGUACCAACUUAGUACAAGUGACUUCCAAUCACAAGGCCUUGGUUAAACUCCAGGAGAAAAUA
Molecule: transfer RNA, 71 nt
Filed under: Alytes obstetricans pertinax
Lineage: Eukaryota; Metazoa; Chordata; Amphibia; Anura; Alytidae
Description: tRNA-Gly
Rfam family: tRNA
About the family: Transfer RNA (tRNA) molecules are approximately 80 nucleotides in length. Their secondary structure includes four short double-helical elements and three loops (D, anti-codon, and T loops). Further hydrogen bonds mediate the characteristic L-shaped molecular structure. tRNAs have two regions of fundamental functional importance: the anti-codon, which is responsible for specific mRNA codon recognition, and the 3' end, to which the tRNAs corresponding amino acid is attached (by aminoacyl-tRNA synthetases). tRNAs cope with the degeneracy of the genetic code in two manners: having more than one tRNA (with a specific anti-codon) for a particular amino acid; and 'wobble' base-pairing, i.e. permitting non-standard base-pairing at the 3rd anti-codon position.
Source: RNAcentral